GAACGAACGCUGGCGGCGUGCCUAACACAUGCAAGUCGAACGAGAAAGUUUCCUUCGGGAAACCAGUAAAGUGGCGCAAGGGUGAGUAACACGUGAAUAAUCUGCCUAUGAAUUCGGGAUAACUCGGCGAAAGUUGUGCUAAUACCGGAUAAGACCACGUUUCUAAUGUAACGUGGCCAAAGGAACCUCAAGUUCCGUUUAUAGAUGAGUUCGCGGACCAUUAGCUAGUUGGAGGGAUAAUAGCCCCCCAAGGCUUCGAUGGUUAGCCGGCCUGAGAGGGUGAUCGGCCACACUGGAACUGAGACACGGUCCAGACUCCUACGGGAGGCAGCAGUGGGGAAUAUUGCGCAAUGGGCGAAAGCCUGACGCAGCAACGCCGCGUGAGGGAUGAAGGAUUUUGGUUCGUAAACCUCUGUCAGAUGGGAAGAAUAAUGACGGUACCAUCAAAGGAAGCCCCGGCUAACUCCGUGCCAGCAGCCGCGGUAAUACGGAGGGGGCAAGCGUUGUUCGGAAUUAUUGGGCGUAAAGCGUAUGUAGGCGGUUGGACAAGUCAGACGUGUAAGCCCGUGGCUCAACCUGGGAACUGCAUUCCAAACUGCAAAACUAGAGUAUGGUAGAGGAGAGUGGAAUUUCAGGUGUAGCGGUGAAAUGCGUAGAUAUCUGAAGGAACACCAGUGGCGAAGGCGGCUCUCUGGACCAACACUGACGCUGAGGUGCGAAAGCGUGGGUAGCAAACGGGAUUAGAUACCCCGGUAGUCCACGCCGUAAACGAUGUCAACUAACUGUUGGGCGGGUUUCCGCUUAGUGGUGCAGCUAACGCAAUAAGUUGACCGCCUGGGAGGAGUACGGCCGCAAGGCUAAAACUCAAAUGAAUUGACGGGGGCCCGCACAAGCGGUGGAGCAUGUGGUUUAAUUCGAUGCAACGCGAAGAACCUUACCUACCCUUGACAUACAGAGAACUUUCCAGAGAUGGAUUGGUGCCUUCGGGAACUCUGAUACAGGUGCUGCAUGGCUGUCGUCAGCUCGUGUCGUGAGAUGUUGGGUUAAGUCCCGUAACGAGCGCAACCCUUAUCCUUAAUUGCUACCAAUUUAGUUGGGCACUCAUGCGAGACUGCCGGUGAUAAGCCGGAGGAAGGCGGGGAUGACGUCAAGUCCUCAUGGCCCUUAUAAGUGGGGCUACACACGUGCUACAAUGGCGGUGACAGAGGGAAGCAAAGCGGUGACGCUGAGCCAACCCCUAAAAACCGUCUCAGUUCGGAUUGCACUCUGCAACUCGAGUGCAUGAAGUUGGAAUCGCUAGUAAUCGCGGAUCAGCAUGCCGCGGUGAAUACGUUCCCGGGCCUUGUACACACCGC
RNAcentral lists this ribosomal RNA (1355 nucleotides) under uncultured prokaryote. Its description in RNAcentral is "partial 16S ribosomal RNA". It matches the Rfam family "Bacterial small subunit ribosomal RNA", at positions 27 to 1393 of the family's 1533-position model. The record is from RNAcentral.